UGUGCUUUGCUUUGUACUCAAAAAUAAUUUAAAAAUUAAAUUACGGGUCAAAGUAAACUCAAAACUCUGAAAACUUUUUAAAAAAACAAAAAAAAAACAUGGUAAUUACAACUCUUACAAGUGUGUGUGUGUGUGUUUUUGCAUCUUUCCGCAAAAUUUGUCUGUUGCUUUCGGAAAUUAAAGAGACAAUGACCAAGGUAUCUUUUCUAAUCUAG
RNAcentral lists this long non-coding RNA (215 nucleotides) under Capsella rubella. Its description in RNAcentral is "long non-coding RNA (CRUB_LNC000745)". The record is from RNAcentral. Lineage: Eukaryota; Viridiplantae; Streptophyta; Magnoliopsida; Brassicales; Brassicaceae.